AGACCAAAUCACUGAUAACCCACAAUAUGCUACCGCAGUUUCUUGGCACCAGUAUCGUUGCUAAGCUGUUUGUAUUAUUUCAGUAAAAAUAUAUGAUAAAAAGGUAAUAAAGAGUGAGGAAAAAGAACGUUUUGAUUCGUUGAGGCAAAUCUUGUACUCAGUAGCUUAUGCGGUACUAUAACACUGUAAUCAUAGGUAUUUUUUAUUACAUACUAUGUCGACAAAAUAACUAUUGCUCCAAGUCUUAUCUUAAUAGAGGGUUUAUUUAUUUUAGCUAUAUGUUGUUGUUUUUCUAGAGAAAGAUGAUACCACUUAAUGCGCAUGCUAAGUGUGGCUAGCUUGUUUACUUCUUUUUUAGGCAACUAUGUAUUAACUAAACAAAGUGUAGACACCGAACCUAACAAAUUGGAAUAAAGACAAAUGGUAAAAGAACCAAAGAUCCAAUAUUUUUUUUUGCGGGUAUAAACUUGUAUUACUCAACCAUACAAUCCACCUUACAAAGAUCGACGACUUCUGGGGGGCCGGAGCCCAGCCAGACUACAGUUCUAUGUUCCCUACUAGCAAAUUUAGCUAAGAAAUCGCUAACAAGAUUUUGACUAUGCUUGACAUGAGCAAUACAAGUCAUAUGAAGAGAUCGAAAGUGUUUAAUCUCCACCACCAAAUAAGCAUAGACAGACCGGUCUGUUUCUCUUUCAUUCACCAUGUUUACCGCUGAAAGCGACUCCAUCUCCAACCAAAGAUCCAAUAUAAACUAAGAGUUAAAUUAAUGUUCUUCAAGAUCGACAUUUCAACUGUUUACAAUGUUUUUUGUGAAACUACGAGAGACCAAACGUAAGUUAGAUUAAUCUUGAAGGUUUUUAAAAAGGUUGUGUGAGAUGCCCAUCUCAAAGGUGAUAACUUAAUAUCAUUGAUACUCAUGUGAUCUCGAGCUCCAAUGAUCCUAGAUGAACAGUAACAUAAACAUUGAUGUUUUGUCUACGUGCAUGCAUUUUUUUAUGAUUUUGUGAAGGUGUGGGCAAAAGAACUUAUCACCUCCACAAAUGUUAUCUUUUUUUUUGCAGGGGUCCACAAAUGUAAUCAUCUACUGUAACUUCUACUCCAUCAGUUCCAAAUUACUGGUCGCACAAAUGGAUGUAUCUAGAACUAAAAUACAUCUAGAUACAUCCAUACCUGCGAUAAGUAAUUCGGAACGGAGGAAGUAAGUGACAAGCCAGGUGAAAAUUUUGACCAUGGUCUUGUUUUUUUUAUCAAUCAAAACGGUCUAAUUCAUCGUAGUGAGCGUGGCUCCAAGAAAUGUUCUUUUCUUUAGGCUAGAACUAGAACGACGGCACGUUGUGUUGCCUUGCUGCAAGAGGGCCGACUCGUUUGCUAUUCGAGUUUUUCUUCUUUUUUUUUGAGAGAGAAUGCUAUUCGAGCUUCUUUUUUUUUGAGCGGUGAAUGCUAUUCGAGCUUUUUUUUUGAGAAAAAAAUGCUAUUCGAGCUGGGAGCCCAAAAAUAUCACACGAAGGUCAGUCGCCACAGCCCAGCCCAGCCCACGGAAGGUAUAGCCUCCCCGUCCGCACACCGCACUCCCCACCACCAUUUCCUGCUUCUCCGCUAGAACCCUAGCCGCCGCGCCGCCCCAAGAACCGGGAAAGGGAAGCGACGAUCCGGUGUGCCCCUCCUCAUCCUCGAAUCCCGCCACCUCUCGUCUCCAGCUUUAUCUUCGCCGGGGCAAGGAGGAAAUCUCGUCGGAUGGGGAAGGCGAAGCGGGCGUCCAUCUUCAUCAGGCUCGUGUCGGCCGCCGGCACGGGGUUCUUCUACGUGAAGCGCAAGAACCCUCGCCGGAUCACGGAGAAGCUCGAGUUCAGGAAGUACGACCCCCGCGUCAACAAGCACGUCCUCUUCACGGAGGCCAAGAUGAAGUGAGCGCGCGCGUCUUCGCCGGAAGAUGGAAUAACGCCGUCGAGCCCUGUAACGAACCUGAGAGAGAGAGAGAGACAUCUGUUCUUGUUCCUUGUUAUUUUUUCCUUGCCUGUACUGUCGAUGGACUGAGCUGCGGCGCGGUGCAGCUCAUCUGUUUCUUCUUGCCGCUAAUCCAAGUCCGUUGCAUCCCCAUCCAUGAAGCUGCUGGUCCAGGUCCCUGUUGCUGCACUGUUGCUGUGUUCUCUCCCUCCCUGACAUCAUUUCGACAGAUUUGACA
This is a non-coding RNA of Triticum urartu, 2182 nucleotides long. NCBI's taxonomy places the organism in Eukaryota, Viridiplantae, Streptophyta, Magnoliopsida, Poales, Poaceae. The record is from RefSeq and is a predicted model, not a curated record.